RNAcentral lists this non-coding RNA (46 nucleotides) under Schistosoma curassoni. The record is from RNAcentral. Lineage: Eukaryota; Metazoa; Platyhelminthes; Trematoda; Strigeidida; Schistosomatidae.
GCAUUGCUGAAGAGUCCCAUACUAGGACGAAAUGACAAUCCAGUAC